Molecule: long non-coding RNA, 315 nt
Organism: Arabidopsis thaliana (thale cress)
Lineage: Eukaryota; Viridiplantae; Streptophyta; Magnoliopsida; Brassicales; Brassicaceae
Product: other RNA
Exons: 1
Source: RefSeq
GGCAUAUGCUUCGGCUGUCAGUUACUUUUCAUUUUUCACCAAUUUUGCCCCUUCCGCAUACUCCAUGCAUGCAUGAGGAUUGGGAAAGUGGUUGUCUGAUUUGCACAUUCCGAUGAUGGAUUCACAUGAUAUAGGCUAGUUUUUGGCCUCCAAAGUUUUUGCUGUUGUCCUUCAACAAAAAGAAAAAAAAAAUGUUUUAUUGUCGCAGAUAUUUAAUUACAAGAUUUACCUAAUUACGCAUUUGUUAUUUAUACAUGCGAACAAACUCAUUCUUACGCGCGUGUCGAUACUAACUAUGUGCCAUGCCUACUCGAC